ACAUCUCAAGACCUGUCUGCUUUUGAUGGGUGUUGGAAAUUGGGGGUUGCAGGAGCUGUAUCAGACAUAGAUAUGGCAUUGCUCUCCUUGAAUGUAUUAGUGGAGAAAAAGAAAGCUCAUUGAACUCCAUUGGUGUGAUAAAAUCUAUCAAUGCCAGGAACAAUGUCCAAGUCCAAGUUUCUCUGCUGUCUAACCCAUGUCCAUUUGGACCAUUUGGACCAUUUGACCA
RNAcentral lists this unclassified non-coding RNA (229 nucleotides) under uncultured Amanita. Its description in RNAcentral is "sequence contains ITS2". Lineage: Eukaryota; Fungi; Basidiomycota; Agaricomycetes; Agaricales; Amanitaceae. The record is from RNAcentral.